GCCAGUGUGGCAUAGUGGUUUUAUUGUUGGACUACAACUCUGGAGGCCAGGGUUUGAUUCCCCACGCAGCCA
Phrynosoma platyrhinos (Desert horned lizard) is the source of this 72-nucleotide non-coding RNA. Lineage: Eukaryota; Metazoa; Chordata; Lepidosauria; Squamata; Phrynosomatidae. The record is from the annotation of a GenBank genome assembly.